This 786-nucleotide ribosomal RNA is filed under the name Priestia megaterium. Its description in RNAcentral is "bacterial LSU rRNA". It matches the Rfam family "Bacterial large subunit ribosomal RNA", at positions 2141 to 2925 of the family's 2925-position model. The record is from RNAcentral. Lineage: Bacteria; Bacillati; Bacillota; Bacilli; Caryophanales; Bacillaceae.
GGAUAGGUAGGAGCCUGAGAAGCCGGAGCGCUAGCUUCGGUGGAGGCGUCGGUGGGAUACUACCCUGGCUGUAUUGAAAUUCUAACCCGCGGCCCUUAUCGGGCCGGGAGACAGUGUCAGGUGGGCAGUUUGACUGGGGCGGUCGCCUCCUAAAAUGUAACGGAGGCGCCCAAAGGUUCCCUCAGAAUGGUUGGAAAUCAUUCGUAGAGUGUAAAGGCACAAGGGAGCUUGACUGCGAGACCUACAAGUCGAGCAGGGACGAAAGUCGGGCUUAGUGAUCCGGUGGUUCCGCAUGGAAGGGCCAUCGCUCAACGGAUAAAAGCUACCCCGGGGAUAACAGGCUUAUCUCCCCCAAGAGUCCACAUCGACGGGGAGGUUUGGCACCUCGAUGUCGGCUCAUCGCAUCCUGGGGCUGUAGUCGGUCCCAAGGGUUGGGCUGUUCGCCCAUUAAAGCGGUACGCGAGCUGGGUUCAGAACGUCGUGAGACAGUUCGGUCCCUAUCCGUCGUGGGCGUAGGAAAUUUGAGAGGAGCUGUCCUUAGUACGAGAGGACCGGGAUGGACACACCGCUGGUGUACCAGUUGUCUUGCCAAAGGCAUCGCUGGGUAGCUAUGUGUGGAMGGGAUAAGUGCUGAAAGCAUCUAAGCAUGAAGCCCCCCUCAAGAUGAGAUUUCCCAUAGCGCAAGCUAGUAAGAUCCCUGAAAGAUGAUCAGGUUGAUAGGUCAGAGGUGGAAGCGUGGCGACAUGUGUAGCUGACUGAUACUAAUCGAUCGAGGACUUAACCAAA